This 308-nucleotide ribosomal RNA is filed under the name uncultured bacterium. Its description in RNAcentral is "bacterial SSU rRNA". It matches the Rfam family "Bacterial small subunit ribosomal RNA", at positions 28 to 348 of the family's 1533-position model. The record is from RNAcentral.
GAUGAACGCUAGCGGCAGGCCUAAUACAUGCAAGUCAAGGGGCCAGUAAAUGGCACCGGCGGACGGGUGCGUAACGCGUACACAACGUACCUUUGGGUGGGGGAUAGCAUCGGGAAACUGGUGGUAAAUACCCCCAUGGUAAUUGGAGACUGGCAUCAGUUUUCAAUUAAAGACUACGCCCAAAGAUCGGUGUGCGUCUGAUUAGCUAGUUGGUAGGUAACGGCCUACCAAGGCGACGAUCAGUAGGGGGCGUGAGAGCGUGGCCCCCCACACGGGUACUGAGACACGGACCCGACUCCUACGGGAGG